This 253-nucleotide ribosomal RNA is filed under the name uncultured bacterium. Its description in RNAcentral is "partial 16S ribosomal RNA". It matches the Rfam family "Bacterial small subunit ribosomal RNA", at positions 524 to 776 of the family's 1533-position model. The record is from RNAcentral.
UACGUAGGGACCAAGCGUUGUUCGGAUUUACUGGGCGUAAAGGGCGCGUAGGCGGCGUGGUAAGUCACUUGUGAAAUCUCCGAGCUUAACUCGGAACGGUCAAGUGAUACUGCUGUGCUAGAGUGCGGAAGGGGCAACUGGAAUUCUCGGUGUAGCGGUGAAAUGCGUAGAUAUCGAGAGGAACACCUGCGGCGAAGGCGGGUUGCUGGGCCGACACUGACGCUGAGGCGCGAAAGCUAGGGGAGCGAACGGG